GAGUUUGAUCCUGGCUCAGGACGAACGCUGGCGGCGUGCUUAACACAUGCAAGUCGAGCGGAAAGGCCACUUCGGUGGUACUCGAGCGGCGAACGGGUGAGUAACACGUGAGUAAUCUGCCCCUGGCUUUGGGAUAGCCACCGGAAACGGUGAUUAAUACCGGAUACGACAACUUCUCGCAUGGGAUGGUUGUGGAAAGUUUUUCGGCCAGGGAUGUGCUCGCGGCCUAUCAGCUUGAUGGUGAGGUAAUGGCUCACCAUGGCUUCGACGGGUAGCCGGCCUGAGAGGGUGGCCGGCCACACUGGGACUGACACACGGCCCAGACUCCUACGGCAGGCCGCAGUGGGGAAUAUUGGACGAUGGGCGGAAUUCUGAUACAGCAACGCCGCGUGAGGGAUGACGGCCUUCGGGUUGUAAACCUCUUUCGGUGGGGACGAAGCGCAAGUGACGGUACCCACUAAAGAAGCACCGGCCAACUACGUGCCAGCAGCCGCGGUAAUACGUAGGGUGCGAGCGUUGUCCGGAAUUAUUGGGCGUAAAGGGCUCGUAGGCGGUUUGUCGCGUCGGGAGUGAAACCAGGUGCUUAACACUGGCUUGCUUCGAUACGGGCAGACUAGAGGUAUUCAGGGGAGAACGGAAUUCCUGGUGUAGCGGUGAAAUGCGCAGAUAUCAGGAGGAACACCGGUGGCGAAGGCGGUUCUCUGGGAAUGACCUGACGCUGAGGAGCGAAAGUGUGGGGAGCGAACAGGAUUAGAUACCCUGGUAGUCCACACCGUAAACGUUGGGCGCUAGGUGUGGGGUCCAUUCCACGGAUUCCGUGCCGCAGCUAACGCAUUAAGCGCCCCGCCUGGGGAGUACGGCCGCAAGGCUAAAACUCAAAGGAAUUGACGGGGGCCCGCACAAGCGGCGGAGCAUGCGGAUUAAUUCGAUGCAACGCGAAGAACCUUACCUGGGUUUGACAUACACCCUGCCGCUCCAGAGAUGGGGCUUCUUUUGGGGGUGUACAGGUGGUGCAUGGCUGUCGUCAGCUCGUGUCGUGAGAUGUUGGGUUAAGUCCCGCAACGAGCGCAACCCUCGUUCUAUGUUGCCAGCACGUAAUGGUGGGGACUCAUAGGAGACUGCCGGGGUCAACUCGGAGGAAGGUGGGGAUGACGUCAAGUCAUCAUGCCCCUUAUGUCCAGGGCUUCACGCAUGCUACAAUGGCCGGUACAAAGGGCUGCGAUCCCGUAAGGGGGAGCGAAUCCCAAAAAGCCGGUCUCAGUUCGGAUUGGGGUCUGCAACUCGACCCCAUGAAGUCGGAGUCGCUAGUAAUCGCAGAUCAGCAACGCUGCGGUGAAUACGUUCCCGGGCCUUGUACACACCGCCCGUCACGUCACGAAAGUCGGCAACACCCGAAGCCGGUGGCCCAACCCUUGUGGAGGGAGCCGUCGAAGGUGGGGCUGGCGAUUGGGACGAAGUCGUAACAAGGUAGCCGUACCGGAAGGUGCGGCUGGAUCACCUCCUUUCU
This 1507-nucleotide ribosomal RNA is filed under the name uncultured bacterium. Its description in RNAcentral is "bacterial SSU rRNA". It matches the Rfam family "Bacterial small subunit ribosomal RNA". The record is from RNAcentral.